AUUGAACGCUGGCGGCAUGCCUUACACAUGCAAGUCGAACGGCAGCACGGGUGCUUGCACCUGGUGGCGAGUGGCGAACGGGUGAGUAAUACAUCGGAACGUACCUUGUAGUGGGGGAUAGCUCGGCGAAAGCCGGAUUAAUACCGCAUACGCUCUGAGGAGGAAAGCGGGGGACCUUCGGGCCUCGCGCUACAAGAGCGGCCGAUGUCAGAUUAGCUAGUUGGUGAGGUAAAAGCUCACCAAGGCGACGAUCUGUAGCUGGUCUGAGAGGACGACCAGCCACACUGGGACUGAGACACGGCCCAGACUCCUACGGGAGGCAGCAGUGGGGAAUUUUGGACAAUGGGCGAAAGCCUGAUCCAGCAAUGCCGCGUGUGUGAAGAAGGCCUUCGGGUUGUAAAGCACUUUUGUCCGGAAAGAAAUCCUCUGGGUUAAUACCUCGGGGGGAUGACGGUACCGGAAGAAUAAGCACCGGCUAACUACGUGCCAGCAGCCGCGGUAAUACGUAGGGUGCAAGCGUUAAUCGGAAUUACUGGGCGUAAAGCGUGCGCAGGCGGUUUUGUAAGACGGAUGUGAAAUCCCCGGGCUUAACCUGGGAACUGCAUUCGUGACUGCAAGGCUAGAGUAUGGCAGAGGGGGGUAGAAUUCCA
This 650-nucleotide ribosomal RNA is filed under the name Burkholderia sp. D1-4. Its description in RNAcentral is "bacterial SSU rRNA". It matches the Rfam family "Bacterial small subunit ribosomal RNA", at positions 28 to 671 of the family's 1533-position model. The record is from RNAcentral. Lineage: Bacteria; Pseudomonadati; Pseudomonadota; Betaproteobacteria; Burkholderiales; Burkholderiaceae.